Molecule: ribosomal RNA, 253 nt
Filed under: uncultured bacterium
Lineage: Bacteria
Description: partial 16S ribosomal RNA
Rfam family: Bacterial small subunit ribosomal RNA
Source: RNAcentral
UACGAAGGGUGCUAGCGUUGUUCGGAAUCACUGGGCGUAAAGCGCACGCAGGCGGAUCGAUAAGUCGGGGGUGAAAUCCCGGGGCUCAACCUCGGACUUGCCUUCGAUACUGUCGGUCUCGAGUCCGGGAGAGGUGAGUGGAAUUCCUAGUGUAGAGGUGAAAUUCGUAGAUAUUAGGAAGAACACCAGUGGCGAAGGCGGUUCACUGGCCCGGUACUGACGCUCAGGUGCGAAAGCGUGGGGAGCAAACAGG